This is a long non-coding RNA of Patella vulgata (common limpet), 1201 nucleotides long. RefSeq lists it as uncharacterized. The transcript is spliced from 5 exons. The record is from RefSeq and is a predicted model, not a curated record. NCBI's taxonomy places the organism in Eukaryota, Metazoa, Mollusca, Gastropoda, Patellidae.
UGAAUUAGUUUAAAUAUGUUUUAGUCCAAAUAUAUCAAAUCGCAGAGUUGUACGUGGGAAGAAGGCAUCUUUAAUUUGUGGAAUUCUGCUUUUUGUGGAAUUCUCCUUUUUGUGGAAUUCAACAUUUUUUGUGUGUGUUAACCUUUCCUCGGUGGACAAACAUUUUAUUUGAAGAAAUCGUUUGCAAAAGAAGUCAACGAUUGCCAUAUGUGAUCUUGAGAAAAACAAUCGCUGUUAUUUGUUUGAAAAUACUAAAGGAUAUUUAGUUUUGUGUUUUGCAAAUAAUAUUGAGACAAACAAGAAAAAGAUUUUAUUUAGGCUGCUGGUUUGCUACAGAACAUAUUACAGAUAAUGUAUUUGUUUAUAACUGAAAAGUCGUUUGAAUUUUAUAUUUUAGCUGUGGAGACUUUGCAUACUGUAACCUAUAUGUGGGCGUCACCUGCUGAUCAUUACGGUCUUCGUGGGGAAGAGUUUAAACUAAAGUGUAUUUUCUCUGGAAACCCUACCCCUGAUAUACAUUGGACAAGAACCAAAGGUGGAGCUAUGCCAGAAGGAAUUCAGAUAACUAGUUUUGGCCAAGAAUUGGUUUUUCCGAAGCUGUUGGAUAGCGAUGCUGGAGAAUAUGAAUGUUUGGCUACCAAUUCCAUAAGUCCUCAAGCGGCACGUAAUUUAUUUUCUUUACGUGUUGAAUCAAGACCAUACUGGACAGAUAAUGGUCCAGACGAUGUAGAAGUUGGCAUUGGUGGUUCUGCAACUUUUGUAUGUAAGGCUCAGGGUAAUCCAGAGCCAGAUACAAAAUGGUUUAUUAAUGGUGUUCCUUUAGCAAAGGUAACAGAUCCCCGAGUAAAGAAUGGUAGAUUUAAAGUUUUAGGACCUGAUACUGUGAUGAUGGUUAACCUGACGAGUGAUGAUGAUAUGGUUAUCCAGUGUAAUGUGACAAAUAAGCACGGAUAUAUCUGGGGUGAUUCCUACCUAAAUGUAGGGUUCCCAGUAAUCGGUUGAUCCAUUACGUCACUAUUCACAUAGUUAUCUAAGAAGUUAUCAACGACGACAUUUGGGAAAAAACAAAACCCUGUUACAUUAAUACUGUCCGAAUACAUAUUAAUCUAUUAACUAUAACUAAGAUGAUUUUACCAUUAGUCAUCGCAUACCGAUUGAUCUAUUAACUAAAAUGAUAUGAUGUUAAACUGUUAAACUAGUA